AUGUUGUGGCCAAUUGAUGCUCAUGGAGUCCUAGCGAUCCCGAUCCCUAUGCACAAUAUGUCGUAUUUUAUUGCUUGGAGCUAUACCAAAAAUGGUUUAUUCACUAUUUGAUCAGCUUAUGUGGAGGAAUGGAACAAACAAUAUGGGAGGAAAUUGGAAUAUUCAAAUGGCAUGGGUAGAAGUAAGGUUAAUCCUAUUUGGGGUAAUAUCUAGAAAUUAGUUUGUCCAGCGAAGAUUAAAUUUUUUAUUUGGUGGACGCUUCACGGGACUCUACCGUCUCGUGUCGCACUAGCCCACAGACAUAUAAAAACUCAACUAGUCCGCCCAGCAUGUUGGGAUGGACCGGAGGACACGAAACAUGUGUUGUUUCUGUGCCAGAAGGCAAAAGAAGUGUGGGAACAUUUGGGGUUGUAUGAAGUGGUAAAAGCCUGUGUCAUUGAUCGUGCAAGAGAGGCAGUCCUUGAAUUCUUACCCCUCAUGCCUGAUCAUGAACUACCUAUCUUGAUCUCUCGGAAUGCACGGGAACUGAUCGCUAUAGCUACAUAGUAUUUAUGGUGGAAUAGACGAAAGCUAGUCCAUCAGGGUAAGUCUCAAGAGGCGUCCCAAACCUCGAUGGGGAUUCGGGCUAUAACAAUGAAUUAUGUAAUGGCCCAAUCACCUAAAGCAAAGAGGAAGACUGAAGGAUGGUGCAUACCUCCCAUGGGGUUUGUUAAAUUGAAUGUGGAUGCUUGUCUUGAUCAUGAUCAGCUAAGGGGCACAACGGGUGCUGUUAUCAGAGACGGCAAAGGAAACUACAUAGUAGGUGGUAACUGGAAGAUUCAGUACUAUGCAGAUGCUCUAACAUCAGAGGCAUUAGCACUCAGGUUUGGUUUAGGUUUGGCGCAAAGGGCAGACUGCAAUCGUCUCAUUAUCAAUUCUGAUAAUAUGGAAGUCAUUGACACAAUGAAGAACAGUGGAUUGUCGUCGGAGCGGCAGCUGCAAUUUUUGAGGAUUGUUUUUUUAUGGCCUGUGAUUUUACUCACACUAGUUUUGAACAUUGUAAUAGAGAAGCGAAUAAAGUAG
RNAcentral lists this ribosomal RNA (1062 nucleotides) under Triticum aestivum (bread wheat). RNAcentral describes it as "partial small subunit ribosomal RNA". The record is from RNAcentral. Lineage: Eukaryota; Viridiplantae; Streptophyta; Magnoliopsida; Poales; Poaceae.